Molecule: ribosomal RNA, 440 nt
Filed under: uncultured bacterium
Lineage: Bacteria
Description: partial 16S ribosomal RNA
Rfam family: Bacterial small subunit ribosomal RNA
Source: RNAcentral
CCUACGGGAGGCAGCAGUGGGGAAUAUUGCACAAUGGGGGAAACCCUGAUGCAGCGACGCCGCGUGAGUGAAGAAGUCAUUCGUUAUGUAAAGCUCUAUUAGCAGGGAAGAAAAUGACGGUACCUGAGUACGCAUCCCCGGCUAACUACGUUCCAGCAGCCGCGGUAAUACGUAGGGGGCAAGCGUUAUCCUGAUUUACUGGGGGUAAAGGGAGCGUAGACGGCAGUGCAAGUCUGGAGUGAAAGGCGGGGGCUCAACCACCGGUCUGCAGUGGAAACUGUACGGCUGGAGUGCAGGAGAGGUAAGUGGAAUUCCUAGUGUAGCGGUGAAAUGCGUAGAUAUUAGGAGGAACACCAGUGGCGAAGGCAGCUUACUGGACUGUAACUGACAUUGAGGCUCGAAAGCGUGGGUAGCAAACAGGAUUAGAUACCCGAGUAGUC